GUGUGACAUCGAAGCUAAUCGGUCGCCUGCGAUCUCGUGGUUUCUUAUUGUUCUACAGCACAUCAUUCCAUUUAUAAAAUGAGACUUGUUAACACUAGUGCAUGAAUUUCAGUGCUUCUUUAACAAGUGAGAAACCAAGUUGAAGUGUCAAUUUAACUCCGUUUGUUGAACGACAUCGCGUGCCAGCUCGAAAAUGGCCUUGGUGACCGCUAGAAAACCCGAUUUCUUGAACGUUAUUUGCUGGUUGACAAUGUCACUGAAGAAUUUCUUUUCACCUUGAGACUUUCGUGGUGAAUGUGAUUGAAGAAUUGUACUGUAAAAGAAGUGUUAAAUUUACGUCGUCAACCACGUGGCGUUCGGGAGAGAGAUCGGUCGACUGGACAACGAGACGUCCCUGAUGUGCUGUGGCUAAAAGUAGGGUGAAGGUAGAAGAAUGUAGGCGCCGUAUAUAUGUAUCUAAUAAAAUAUAACGAAAGGAGCUAAGAAAAAAUAAUAAAAAAAGAAGAAGAAGAAGCCAACAGCUAUAUAAUAUAGCUCCCUUUUUCUUUCUCUCUUGUUUUUUCCUCUUUUUUUAAAUUUCUUUUUUUAUUUUGAACGUGUGUGUGUGUCUGUUUGUGUUCAUGUUCAAUGGCUGGCGGCGUUUGGGGGCCGGCGGGAGAGUGCAGCCAUCCCAAGGUAAAAAAAAAAGAGAAAAAGGGGGCAGCCCCAUGCAGACAUGCACGUAUAGUGAGCGUCGUGUCAUCGUGACCGCCCCACAUCCGGCGCGUACCGAAGAAUUUUUUUCUUUUUAUUUUUUAGACAAAAGAAAAACACACACAAGGCCCUUUCUGUUCUUAUAUUCUACAUAUACACCUGUACAACCUGUGCCUCUCUUGGCUUUGCUCCCCCCCCCCCCCCACAUCAGAUGGCCUUUGGCGGAGUGUGGAAAUGUUCCAAGAAAAACUAAAUUCAAGUGUAAAAUGCCAUUAUUAUUAUAUUUUUUUAAAGUUGAUGUAACUUUUUGGUUGAAAAAUGUUUUUCUCUCCGACAAAAUCGAAUUGUUUGAAAUUAUUGGUGCGAUAGUAGGUCUGGCCCAGAAAAAGAAAAGUUAGUAAUCAUAGGACUUGUGUAGCUAACCGAGUUGACCAAGUGUGGCGCCUCUCUACACAUCUCGGCGAGCCUAAAUUAGCAGCUACACACAUAGUGUACAACCGCGCCUACACGAAUGUGUGUGUAUGUCUGCGCUAGAUUUUGAUAAUCAUUUUAAUAGCAGAGAUCGCCCCUAUACAUAGUCUCCCUAGCAAUUGUAUACUAGUACCUUUUUUCCUUUUUCAAAAUAAAAGUUGAUGAUUGUGGGGGGGUUGAAGAAGCGAUUCGGUUCAU
Molecule: long non-coding RNA, 1362 nt
Organism: Daphnia pulex (common water flea)
Lineage: Eukaryota; Metazoa; Arthropoda; Branchiopoda; Diplostraca; Daphniidae
Exons: 3
Source: RefSeq, a predicted model, not a curated record